AACGAACGCUGGCGGCAGGCUUAACACAUGCAAGUCGAGCGAGACCUUCGGGUCUAGCGGCGGACGGGUGAGUAACGCGUGGGAACGUGCCCUUCUCUACGGAAUAGCCCCGGGAAACUGGGAGUAAUACCGUAUACGCCCUUUGGGGGAAAGAUUUAUCGGAGAAGGAUCGGCCCGCGUUGGAUUAGGUAGUUGGUGGGGUAAUGGCCCACCAAGCCGACGAUCCAUAGCUGGUUUGAGAGGAUGAACAGCCACACUGGGACUGAGACACGGCCCAGACUCCUACGGGAGGCAGCAGUGGGGAAUCUUAGACAAUGGGGGCAACCCUGAUCUAGCCAUGCCGCGUGAGUGAUGAAGGCCUUAGGGUUGUAAAGCUCUUUCAGCUGGGAAGAUAAUGACGGUACCAGCAGAAGAAGCCCCGGCUAACUCCGUG
Molecule: ribosomal RNA, 433 nt
Filed under: uncultured bacterium
Lineage: Bacteria
Description: partial 16S ribosomal RNA
Rfam family: Bacterial small subunit ribosomal RNA
Source: RNAcentral